This 422-nucleotide ribosomal RNA is filed under the name uncultured bacterium. RNAcentral describes it as "partial 16S ribosomal RNA". It matches the Rfam family "Bacterial small subunit ribosomal RNA", at positions 360 to 774 of the family's 1533-position model. The record is from RNAcentral.
AAUAUUGCACAAUGGGCGCAAGCCUGAUGCAGCAACGCCGCGUGGGGGAUGACGGCCUUCGGGUUGUAAAGCACUUUUGGCAGGGAAGAAAAGGCUCUGGUUAAUACCUGGAGCUGCUGACGGUACCUGCAGAAUAAGCACCGGCUAACUACGUGUCAGCAGCCGCGGUAAUACGUAGGGUGCAAGCGUUAAUCGGAAUUACUGGGCGUAAAGCGUGCGCAGGCGGUUUGGCAAGAAGGAUGUGAAAUCCCAGGGCUUAACCUUGGAACUGCAUUCUUAACUGCCAGGCUAGAGUAUGUCAGAGGGGGGCAGAAUUCCGCGUGUAGCAGUGAAAUGCGUAGAGAUGCGGAGGAAUACCGAUGGCGAAGGCAGCCCCCUGGGAUAAUACUGACGCUCAUGCACGAAAGCGUGGGGAGCAAACA